This 240-nucleotide unclassified non-coding RNA is filed under the name Hevea brasiliensis (rubber tree). The record is from RNAcentral. Lineage: Eukaryota; Viridiplantae; Streptophyta; Magnoliopsida; Malpighiales; Euphorbiaceae.
AUUAGGGAUACCUAUCGGGGAUAUGUGACUUUUUUUUUAAAGUUUGAUUCUCCUUUUCUUCUCGAGAUAGUCUUUUUAAUCCUCCAUCCAUAUAGUUAUGCUCCAUUCCGAGCAAGAUGUCAAGUUUUCUGGUACUUUUGGUUACAAUGUUUAAUAUCGUAUUCACACCGUAUUAGUUAUAGUGUUCCCCUUUCCAUUUCGUUGGAGGCAUUCUAUUUUGAUUUCUUUGAUGGUAUUUGU